CCUACGGGCGGCAGCAGUGGGGAAUAUUGGACAAUGGGCGAAAGCCUGAUCCAGCCAUGCCGCGUGUGUGAAGAAGGCCUUCGGGUUGUAAAGCACUUUCAGUGGGGAAGAAAGCCUUGGGGCUAAUACCCUCGAGGAAGGACAUCACCCACAGAAGAAGCACCGGCUAACUCCGUGCCAGCAGCCGCGGUAAUACGGAGGGUGCGAGCGUUAAUCGGAAUUACUGGGCGUAAAGCGCGCGUAGGCGGUCUGAUAAGCCGGUUGUGAAAGCCCCGGGCUCAACCUGGGAACGGCAUCCGGAACCGUCAGGCUAGAGUGCAGGAGAGGAAGGUAGAAUUCCCGGUGUAGCGGUGAAAUGCGUAGAGAUCGGGAGGAAUACCAGUGGCGAAGGCGGCCUUCUGGACUGACACUGACGCUGAGGUGCGAAAGCGUGGGUAGCAAACAGGAUUAGAUACCCCUGUAGUC
Molecule: ribosomal RNA, 465 nt
Filed under: Vreelandella stevensii
Lineage: Bacteria; Pseudomonadati; Pseudomonadota; Gammaproteobacteria; Oceanospirillales; Halomonadaceae
Description: partial 16S ribosomal RNA
Rfam family: Bacterial small subunit ribosomal RNA
Source: RNAcentral